ACCGGUUUGGCUCAGUGGAGAGAGCCUCAGUCUGUGGACUGAAGGGUACUGGGUUCAAUUCCGGUAAAGGGCA
RNAcentral lists this transfer RNA (73 nucleotides) under Myotis davidii. It matches the Rfam family "tRNA". Rfam says of the family: Transfer RNA (tRNA) molecules are approximately 80 nucleotides in length. Their secondary structure includes four short double-helical elements and three loops (D, anti-codon, and T loops). Lineage: Eukaryota; Metazoa; Chordata; Mammalia; Chiroptera; Vespertilionidae. The record is from Rfam by way of RNAcentral.